RNAcentral lists this ribosomal RNA (258 nucleotides) under uncultured bacterium. RNAcentral's name for it is "partial 16S ribosomal RNA". It matches the Rfam family "Bacterial small subunit ribosomal RNA", at positions 96 to 354 of the family's 1533-position model. The record is from RNAcentral.
UGGCGGACGGGUGAGUAACGCGUGGAAAACCUGCCGUAUACUGGGGGAUAACACUUAGAAAUAGGUGCUAAUACCGCAUAAGCGCACAGCUUCGCAUGAAGCGGUGUGAAAAACUCUGGUGGUAUACGAUGGUUCCGCGUCUGAUUAGCUAGUUGGUGGGGUAAUGGCCUACCAAGGCAACGAUCAGUAGCCGGCCUGAGAGGGUGAACGGCCACACUGGGACUGAGACACGGCCCAAACUCCUACGGAAGGCAGCAG